UACGGAGGGUGCAAGCGUUAUCCGGAUUCACUGGGUUUAAAGGGUGUGUAGGCGGAUAUUUAAGUCCGAGGUGAAAUCUCUGAGCUUAACUCAGGAACUGCCUUGGAUACUAUUUAUCUUGAAUAUCGUUGAGGCAGGCGGAAUAUGUCAUGUAGCGGUGAAAUGCGUAGAUAUGUGGAGGAACACCAGUGGCGAAGGCGACUUUCUGGACUGUAACUGACGCUGAGUCACGAAAGCGUGGGUAGCAAAC
RNAcentral lists this ribosomal RNA (250 nucleotides) under uncultured bacterium. RNAcentral's name for it is "partial 16S ribosomal RNA". It matches the Rfam family "Bacterial small subunit ribosomal RNA", at positions 524 to 773 of the family's 1533-position model. The record is from RNAcentral.